AGAACGAACGCUGGCGGCAUGCCUAACACAUGCAAGUCGAACGAGACCUUCGGGUCUAGUGGCGCACGGGUGCGUAACGCGUGGGAAUCUGCCCUUGGGUUCGGGAUAACAGUUGGAAACGACUGCUAAUACCGGAUGAUGACUUCGGUCCAAAGAUUUAUCGCCCAGGGAUGAGCCCGCGUAGGAUUAGCUAGUUGGUGAGGUAAAGGCUCACCAAGGCGACGAUCCUUAGCUGGUCUGAGAGGAUGAUCAGCCACACUGGGACUGAGACACGGCCCAGACUCCUACGGGAGGCAGCAGUGGGGAAUAUUGGACAAUGGGCGAAAGCCUGAUCCAGCAAUGCCGCGUGAGUGAUGAAGGCCUUAGGGUUGUAAAGCUCUUUUACCCGGGAUGAUAAUGACAGUACCGGAGAAUAAGCCCCGGCUAACUCCGUGCUAGCAGCCGC
This 445-nucleotide ribosomal RNA is filed under the name uncultured soil bacterium. Its description in RNAcentral is "bacterial SSU rRNA". It matches the Rfam family "Bacterial small subunit ribosomal RNA", at positions 26 to 518 of the family's 1533-position model. The record is from RNAcentral.